This 73-nucleotide transfer RNA is filed under the name Salmo salar (Atlantic salmon). It matches the Rfam family "tRNA". Rfam says of the family: Transfer RNA (tRNA) molecules are approximately 80 nucleotides in length. Their secondary structure includes four short double-helical elements and three loops (D, anti-codon, and T loops). The record is from Rfam by way of RNAcentral. Lineage: Eukaryota; Metazoa; Chordata; Actinopteri; Salmoniformes; Salmonidae. RNAcentral also lists the same sequence under 1 other name.
UCCCCUGUAGCUCAGUUGGUAGAGCAUGGUGUUUGCAACGCCAGGGUUGUGGGUUCGAUUCCCACGGGGGGCC